Long non-coding RNA from Lucilia cuprina (Australian sheep blowfly), 357 nucleotides. RefSeq lists it as uncharacterized. The record is from RefSeq and is a predicted model, not a curated record. Lineage: Eukaryota; Metazoa; Arthropoda; Insecta; Diptera; Calliphoridae. The transcript is spliced from 3 exons.
CUAUUAUUAUCAAGACAUCGUUGUCUAAACAAUUUUUUGUUUGCUAGUUUAACAUACAAGAAGAAAACAAACAGGGGAUUAUUGGAAAAAUAUGAAGAAAACAAACUUUUUUUGGUCGAAGUGAUCACUAAGUUGUAUAUUUUUGAAUUUGGCGAAAAAUAAGGUUGAUGUUUAGAUAUUUAUGGAAGGAACACAUAUGGCAUAAAAUAUUUUAUCUUGAUUGUGUAAUGUCUACCACACCCACCCCAUUUCCCUGAGCAAGGUCGAGUUGAAUAAAUGGUAGAGCGGGAAAAUCGUUACAAACUGAAAUAUAUAAUCGAUAGGGAAUCGAAAAAGGAAUCGAUCUCUGUAUUAAAU